Molecule: long non-coding RNA, 140 nt
Organism: Sinocyclocheilus rhinocerous
Lineage: Eukaryota; Metazoa; Chordata; Actinopteri; Cypriniformes; Cyprinidae
Exons: 3
Source: RefSeq, a predicted model, not a curated record
UAACACACUCUGUAAUGUCAUAGAAUUAAUGCCGUCAGAUUUUAAUUCCUCUUUUAACUGUAUUCUUUCCCUUUCAUAUGCCCUACAGUUAAUCAGCACAUGCUCUACAGUUUCUGGAAGUAACAAAUUUAUGUAAUAAA